Long non-coding RNA from Heterocephalus glaber (naked mole-rat), 542 nucleotides. The record is from Ensembl. NCBI's taxonomy places the organism in Eukaryota, Metazoa, Chordata, Mammalia, Rodentia, Bathyergidae.
CCAAAAACGAGUGUGGCAGAUGACAUCAUCAGUGUGCAUCCUUCAGCACAAGGACAGUGUUGAAUUCUCCACAUGGUCUGCCAUUAGUCACCGUUCCUGGUGGAGCAGAACUGAGGUUGGGUGUGAUGGUCCCAAGCUCACAUUCACAGCCUCAGUUCCAGCAGCAAGGAGGCCGCGACAGGAGGAUUGCUGUGAGUUCGAGGGCAGCUUGGGCUACAUAGUCACAACUGAGACCUCAGUGAUCCCCGGAUGCUGUAAUGCUCCAGGACAAGACCACGCCUGCGGGAGAUGCCAGGGAGGAACCAAAUCUUCAUCUGCGUAGUUCCUCAUUGUUCUCAGAUUUCCACUGCCCCCCAGUCUUUUUACACCUUGUUUAUCCCAAUGUGAAGUACUGAACUCUGCAGUGCACUUGUUACAUCUGUUUCCCCACGUACUGAAUAAAAGGUGCUGCAAGCUAGGGGGCUUUGUCUUUGCUGCCCAGAGCAGCACUGAUCAGACCCAAAGCUCAGCUUCUUCUCAGUCUCAUUUGUCUACCUUUCCUG